Molecule: ribosomal RNA, 449 nt
Filed under: uncultured bacterium
Lineage: Bacteria
Description: partial 16S ribosomal RNA
Rfam family: Bacterial small subunit ribosomal RNA
Source: RNAcentral
UGCCAGACUCCUACGGGAGGCAGCAGUGGGGAAUAUUGCACAAUGGGGGAAACCCUGAUGCAGCAACGCCGCGUGGGUGAAGAAGUAUUUCGGUAUGUAAAGCCCUAUCAGCAGGGAAGAGAAUGACGGUACCUGACUAAGAAGCCCCGGCUAACUACGUGCCAGCAGCCGCGGUAAUACGUAGGGGGCAAGCGUUAUCCGGAUUUACUGGGUGUAAAGGGAGCGUAGACGGUCGUGCAAGUCUGAAGUGAAAGCCCGCGGCUCAACUGCGGAACGGCUUUGGAAACUGUGUAACUGGAGUGCUGGAGAGGUAAGCGGAAUUCCUGGUGUAGCGGUGAAAUGCGUAGAGAUCAGGAGGAACACCGGCGGCGAAGGCGGCCUGCUGGACGGCGACUGACGUUGAGGCCCGAAAGCGUGGGGAGCAAACAGGAUUAGAUACCCGGGUAAAG